RNAcentral lists this non-coding RNA (250 nucleotides) under Schwartzia succinivorans. RNAcentral describes it as "T-box sequence". It matches the Rfam family "T-box leader". From Rfam's summary of the family: Uncharged tRNA acts as the effector for transcription antitermination of genes in the T-box leader family. T-boxes are found upstream of many aminoacyl-tRNA synthetase genes and some amino acid biosynthetic genes usually in Gram-positive bacteria. Lineage: Bacteria; Bacillati; Bacillota; Negativicutes; Selenomonadales; Selenomonadaceae. The record is from RNAcentral.
GAAAAAGCGAAGAACCGGAAAAGUAUCGUGCAGGGAACCGUUCAGAGAGCCGGAGCAGGUGGAAACCGGCCGGGGAGAUGCGCAGGAAGUUCACCGGGGAGCUGCCCGUUCAGAGGCGUGAGUCAGCAGACGGAGCCGGAGCCUUUACCGUUAGAGGAAGGAGCCUGUCGACAUAUGUCCGCAGGUGAAGAGAUAUCCGCUUUGGCGGAUGAAUCAGGGUGGUACCGCGAGCAACAGCCUCGUCCUUUGA